AAGUCGUAACAAGGUCUCCGUUGGUGAACCAGCGGAGGGAUCAUUACUGAGUACUACACUCUCUACCCUUGUGAACUAUUAUACCUGUUGCUUCGGCGGCGCCCGCAAGGGUGCCCGCCGGUCUCAUCAGAAUCUCUGUUUUCGAACCCGACGAUACUUCUGAGUGUUCUUAGCGAACUGUCAAAACUUUUAACAACGGAUCUCUUGGCUCCAGCAUCGAUGAAGAACGCAGCGAAACGCGAUAUGUAAUGUGAAUUGCAGAAUUCAGUGAAUCAUCGAAUCUUUGAACGCACAUGGCGCCUUCCAGUAUCCUGGGAGGCAUGCCUGUCCGAGCGUCGUUUCAACCCUCGAGCCCCUGUGGCCCGGCGUUGGGGAUCUGCCACGGCAGGCCCCUAAAACCAGUGGCGGACCCGAAGGGCCCUCUCCUUUGCGCAGUAGCAUUCGCCUCGCAUCGGGAGUCCUCGGCGUCCUGCCUCUAAACCCCCACAAGCCCGCUUCGGCGGCACCAAGGUUGACCUCGGAUCAGGUAGGAAUACCCGCUGAACUUAA
RNAcentral lists this ribosomal RNA (549 nucleotides) under uncultured fungus. RNAcentral's name for it is "eukaryotic LSU rRNA". The stretch from base 185 to 338 matches the Rfam family "5.8S ribosomal RNA". Lineage: Eukaryota; Fungi. The record is from RNAcentral.